This 103-nucleotide non-coding RNA is filed under the name Bacillus sp. (in: firmicutes). RNAcentral's name for it is "Bacillus sp. SAM-I sequence". It matches the Rfam family "SAM riboswitch aptamer (S box leader)". From Rfam's summary of the family: The SAM riboswitch is found upstream of a number of genes which code for proteins involved in methionine or cysteine biosynthesis in Gram-positive bacteria. The SAM riboswitch acts at the level of transcription termination control. RNAcentral also lists the same sequence under 1 other name. The record is from RNAcentral. Lineage: Bacteria; Bacillati; Bacillota; Bacilli; Caryophanales; Bacillaceae.
UUCUUAUCCAGAGAGGUAGAGGGACUGGCCCGAUGAAACCUCAGCAACAGGUCAGAUGACACUGUGCUAAUUCCUGCGGGUGGUGAACCCUGAUCGAUAAGAG